RNAcentral lists this ribosomal RNA (429 nucleotides) under Acidobacteriota bacterium. RNAcentral describes it as "Acidobacteria bacterium partial 16S ribosomal RNA". It matches the Rfam family "Bacterial small subunit ribosomal RNA", at positions 355 to 776 of the family's 1533-position model. The record is from RNAcentral. Lineage: Bacteria; Pseudomonadati; Acidobacteriota.
UGGGGAAUUUUGGACAAUGGGGGAAACCCUGAUCCAGCCAUCCCGCGUUUGCGAUGAAGGCCUUCGGGUUGUAAAGCACUUUUGGCAGGAAAGAAACGUCAUGGGUUAAUACCCCGUGAAACUGACGGUACCUGCAGAAUAAGCACCGGCUAACUACGUGCCAGCAGCCGCGGUAAUACGUAGGGUGCAAGCGUUAAUCGGAAUUACUGGGCGUAAAGCGUGCGCAGGCGGUUCGGAAAGAAAGAUGUGAAAUCCCAGAGCUCAACUUUGGAACUGCAUUUUUAACUACCGGGCUAGAGUGUGUCAGAGGGAGGUGGAAUUCCGCGUGUAGCAGUGAAAUGCGUAGAUAUGCGGAGGAACACCGAUGGCGAAGGCAGCCUCCUGGGAUAACACUGAAGCUCAUGCACGAAAGCGUGGGGAGCAAACAGG